GAUGAACGCUGGCGGCGUGCCUAAUACAUGCAAGUCGAGCGAACGGACGAGAAGUUUGCCUCUCUGAUGUUAGCGGCGGACGGGUGAGUCACACGUGGAUACCCCACCUAUAAGUCUGGGAUACCUUCGGGAAACCGGAGAUAACACCGGACAAUAUUUUGAACCGUAUGGUUCAACAGUGAAAGACGGUCUUGAUGGCUCUUCUCGAUGGAUCCCAGCUGCAUUAGCUAGUUGGUAAGGUCACGGCUUACCAAGGCAACGAUGCAUAGCCGACCUGACAGACUGAUCGCCGACACUGGAGGUGGAACAGGGUCCAGGCGCCUACGGGAGGCAGCAGUCGGGAAUCUGAGGCAGUGGUCGGAAGCCUGGCACAGCAACGCCGCGUGUGUGGUGGAGGUCUUCGGAGCGUAACGCUCUGUUAUUGGGGGAAAACCUAUGUGUGAGUAACUGUGCCCAUCGUGACGGUACCUGAACAAAAAGCCACGGCUAACUACGUG
RNAcentral lists this ribosomal RNA (497 nucleotides) under uncultured bacterium. Its description in RNAcentral is "partial 16S ribosomal RNA". It matches the Rfam family "Bacterial small subunit ribosomal RNA", at positions 28 to 507 of the family's 1533-position model. The record is from RNAcentral.